This 492-nucleotide ribosomal RNA is filed under the name uncultured bacterium. RNAcentral describes it as "partial 16S ribosomal RNA". It matches the Rfam family "Bacterial small subunit ribosomal RNA", at positions 29 to 507 of the family's 1533-position model. The record is from RNAcentral.
AGUGAACGCUGGCGGUAGGCCUAACACAUGCAAGUCGAACGGCAGCACAGUAAGAGCUUGCUCUUACGGGUGGCGAGUGGCGGACGGGUGAGGAAUACAUCGGAAUCUACUUUUUCGUGGGGGAUAACGUAGGGAAACUUACGCUAAUACCGCAUACUACCUACGGGUGAAAGCAGGGGAUCUUCGGACCUUGCGCGAUUGAAUGAGCCGAUGUCGGAUUAGCUAGUUGGCGGGGUAAAGGCACACCAAGGCGACGAUCCGUAGCUGGUCUGAGAGGAUGAUCAGCCACACUAGAACUGAGACACGGUCCAGACUCCUACGGGAGGAAGCAGUGGGGAAUAUUGGACAAUGGGCGCAAGCCUGAUCCAGCCAUACCGCGUGGGUGAAGAAGGCCCUCGGGUUGUAAAGCCCUUUUGUUGGGAAAGAAAAGCAGCAGGUUAAUACCCCGCUGUUCUGACGGUACCCAAAGAAUAAGCACCGGCUAACUUCGUG